AACGCGAAGAACCUUACCUGGGUUUGACAUGGAUUGGUAACGGUCAGAGAUGGCCGCCCCCCUUGUGGGCCGAUUCACAGGUGGUGCAUGGCUGUCGUCAGCUCGUGUCGUGAGAUGUUGGGUUAAGUCCCGCAACGAGCGCAACCCUCGUCCACUGUUGCCAGCAAUUCGGUUGGGGACUCAGUGGAGACCGCCGGGGUCAACUCGGAGGAAGGUGGGGAUGACGUCAAGUCAUCAUGCCCCUUAUGUCCAGGGCUUCACGCAUGCUACAAUGGCUGGUACAAAGAGUUGCGACACUGUGAGGUGGAGCGAAUCUCAAAAAGCCAGUCUCAGUUCGGAUUGGGGUCUGCAACUCGACCCCAUGAAGUCGGAGUCGCUAGUAAUCGCAGAUCAGCAACGCUGCGGUGAAUACGUUCCCGGGUCUUGUACACACCG
RNAcentral lists this ribosomal RNA (435 nucleotides) under uncultured bacterium. Its description in RNAcentral is "bacterial SSU rRNA". It matches the Rfam family "Bacterial small subunit ribosomal RNA", at positions 958 to 1392 of the family's 1533-position model. The record is from RNAcentral.